This 468-nucleotide ribosomal RNA is filed under the name uncultured bacterium. RNAcentral's name for it is "partial 16S ribosomal RNA". It matches the Rfam family "Bacterial small subunit ribosomal RNA", at positions 28 to 507 of the family's 1533-position model. The record is from RNAcentral.
GACGAACGCUGGCGGCGUGCUUAACACAUGCAAGUCGAACGGAAAGGCCCUGCUUUUGUGGGGUGCUCGAGUGGCGAACGGGUGAGUAACACGUGAGUAACCUGCCCUUGACUUUGGGAUAACUUCAGGAAACUGGGGCUAAUACCGGAUAGGAGCUCCUGCUGCAUGGUGGGGGUUGGAAAGUUUCGGCGGUUGGGGAUGGACUCGCGGCUUAUCAGCUUGUUGGUGGGGUAGUGGCUUACCAAGGCUUUGACGGGUAGCCGGCCUGAGAGGGUGACCGGCCACAUUGGGACUGAGAUACGGCCCAGACGCCUACGGGAGGCAGCAGUGGGGAAUAUUACACAAUGGGCGGAAGCCUGAUGCAGCAACGCCGCGUGCGGAAUGACGGCCUUCGGGUUGUAAACCGCUUUCGCCUGUGACGAAGCGUGAGUGACGGUAAUAGGUAAAGAAGCACCGGCUAACUACGUG